This is a long non-coding RNA of Oncorhynchus tshawytscha (Chinook salmon), 4743 nucleotides long. The record is from Ensembl. NCBI's taxonomy places the organism in Eukaryota, Metazoa, Chordata, Actinopteri, Salmoniformes, Salmonidae.
CAUGUGGUUAGAACUUGCCUUUGCUCAGGAAAUAGCUACUCUAGUGAUAAUGGGCUUCCAUAAAGUUGUUCAACAAACGUCGGGAGAUGGCCAGGAUAUGGAUUACAUCCAACUAGUUUCUAUUUGGGUUGUCAACUGUCAAACCUGAGACUAGUGUGUUGGGAACGAAGAAAAAUUCAAAGGGGGCAUGAGGAUACAGUUUUGCAGGAAGAAGAGCAGAGGAAGGCCCCAGAGUUUUCCAAGCUGGAGUUUUGAAGCUGAAAGAUAAGGAUGUUUGUGCCCAGCGUGAAAUAGCAGGAAUCCUCUCAAUGUGAGGUAAAAGGCUCAUUUUCAGCUCAGAUUGCUCUGGCUCCAAACGCUGUUACUCCCCGCGUCUCAUCUCUCCAUCCAUAUGCCUCUUUCUCCAUCUCUUUCUCUACCUCUCUCUCCCCCUCCUUAUCCCUCGCCUCUUCUGCCCUUUGAUAAUUGCACAGAGCCCCCAUGCAACAGCAGGCAAGACUUUUAUUAGGUGUGGCACGGUGUCAGGGAAUGGCCACAGCCUCCGAACAGGGAUGGACAGAGUACUGGCACUCAGUGGAAUACUCACCAAAAACCAACACGCACUGCAGACACCAAACAAAAACUCCCUUGCUUUCCUUAAGUAAUGAAACUCUUUGGUUGAAACGGGAAAUCCCCCUGCUUCCACCCAGCGGGCCUCACUGCAGCGUAGACCGGCAUUAAUCUCAUUAUGACUCUGACUGUGAGUGGGAUUGGAUUGGAAGGGAGCCGGAGCUCUGAAUAAACAGUGGGAUGCGAGAGGCUGUCCACCUGAUGAUGCCACUCCUCCUUCUCCACUAGAGCCUCAGGCUGCCUGGCUGGCCCACUGUUGGACUGCAAUGAAUGAGCGGUUUCAGAGGAAGAUUGGAUUUGAGAUUUGUGUGCACGACCACUGUUGGAAAAGGGCUGUCUGCGUAUGUAUCUGUGGGAGAGUGUGAAGGUCAGUUAGUUCGUUUUUUUCUGUGUAUGUCUUUAGAUCACAUUGUGUAUUAGAUAGAUUUGGUCUUUCCAAGGGGACUUGCCCUCUAUGUGUUUCCCUUCUGACCCUCUGUUACGCUGUGGGCCUACGGACCCAUCAGUCACAGUCUCAUCCUGGGGCCUGUGUGGCACCUCUGGUCCCUUCUUCCCUCAGCCCUCCAAUCAACAUACUGACUGCACCAUCGCUGUAUCUUGUCUAAUGCAGCAGUUUGUGUGUGUGUGUGUGUGUGUGUGUGUUCAUAAAAACAGUGUUGGAAAUGUCGAAAAACAUACCAUUUGAAGAUCCAUGGUAUUAUUAAAGAUUCCUUGAAGCAAUAUUUUUCAACGGAUGGAGAUUGUGGUAUAUUAUACUGUAUAUAAUUACAGGCCAAGGUGGUGUCAACUUUAACUGUGCUGUGCCACUGUUACAGAGGCCUUCACUGGUAGGAUCUUUAGCUUGCUUUCAUAUGGACGAAAUACUGGAAUGAGUGGCUCAGUGAAAACUAGUGGCAUUGUAAGUAGGUGUGUGUUAUUAUCAGGGUCAGAGAACGUCAGCUCUCCAGCUGCACUCUGAUCCUCUGGGGGUCCUGAACCACUUUGAGACCAGGCUUACCGUCAUUCUCAUUUGGGGACAUUACUACGUAUACACCACAAGUAUGCAAAACACCCCAGAUGUCAUCCCAUAUAUCAUGAUUACUGACAAAGUCGGGGGCCACACCUAGAAACCAAAAGUGACUGUCCCCAACCUCCACGUCCCAGCUGUUUGUCGCUGAGUUGAAACCCCCAGAACCCCUAACACAUACAUAGCCAAAACUCUCCAGGUGGUCAGGAAGCUGCAGUGUUCUAUCACCAACUCUCACACGGGUCAGAUCCUCAGACAGGAUAAGACAGGGGUGGGCAGUGUUGGGGUCCAGAAUCACAGGAGUUGAACAGAGACAACAAGGUUUUAAUAUGUCAUUUAGCAGAAACUUUUAUCCAAAGCAACUUAGUCAAGCGUGCAUGUACAUAUGGGUGGUCCAGGGAAUCAAACCCCCAAUCCUAGCAUUGCAAGCGCCGUGCUCUACCAACUGAGCCAUACGGGACCAUUUGAAAUAUUUAACAUAAAAUCAGACCCACAAUCUUAUCAGAGAUCAUAAAUGUAUUUUUUCUGUAAGAAACUGUAUUGAACAAUCCCCUGCAUCUUCUCCUAGACUUUGUAGGACAGAUUGCCCAAAUGUUUGGCCACGUCUAUCAGCGCUCCUGAGACUAGCUGUGGAGCCGGCAGUGUCCACUGGGCUCUGUAAGAACAUUAGUGCUGCUGUGGGGUCGGGUUCAGAACCAACAGAGAAGAGAGAGACAGUCACAGGAGGGAGAUCACUUACCUGUUCACUGUGGCCUGGUAGGUCUGCAGAGGAAUGAAAAAAACAGUGGCAGCUAUCCUGGCCGCCUCUUCAUCUCGUAGGAACUGGUGAAGCUUCUCACCGCUUUCUUAAUCUGCUUCUCUGUGUGCUGGGCCUGGGUCUGGAGACACAAUCUAAUUACAUCUCUGAAAAUAUGACCUCUCUCAUUUUAACUUUCAACAUCCUGUAAAAUGUCAACAUCACCUCCGAUACCACUCCAGAGAGAUGGAGGAUAACGUUUUUUUUUGUAUUGCCCAGAAUGAGAGGAGAAUGGAGAGAAAAAGGACUGGAAUAUGUCUGGAGAAGCAGUAAGGAGAACCCUCACUUGGUAUUUAGGCCAUGUUGGUGCAACAGUUGAAGAUGGAUGGAAGAUGUUUUUUUUUUGGUCCCAUCAUCCUCAUCAUCAUUUGCACCAUCUGCUACACCAUCUUAGUUAACCUGCUAAGGCUAAAGAAGAGAGCAAGAGUGUGGAGGCGUGCUACACUGCUCCCUGCCAAUGACCUUUUUGAUGUUGAAUGUUGCUAAGAGACAGAACUGAAAGGGAAAGUUGACCGAGAUUGAAAAGUGUCUUGUUACUUGAAGUUGACCUUUGCUUAUUGUCUAAGUUUGGGGGGGGGGGGUUCUGUUUAGAACCACAGUUCACUGUUUUAAAAUGUGUGAAGUCAAUGGAUGUUUGGUUUGUGUCAUAUCCACAUUCAAUUACUUUAAAUUUAGUGGAGACAAUGGAGUGUGGUUAGUGUUAUAUUCACAAUCAAUCACUUCGAAAAUAGUCAUGAGUUUGGCUUGCACCGAAGGGUUUUUCCAUAAGAGGCGGCCCAAUCAGAUUAGAAAAGGGGAUAAGGGGCCUCCCGGGUGGCGCAGUGGUUAAGGGCGCUGUACUGCAGCACCAGCUGUGCCACCAGAGACUCUGGGUUUGCGCCCAGGCCCUGUCGUAACCGGCCUCGACCGGGAGGUCCAUGGGGCGACGCACAAUUGGCCUAGCGUCGUCCGGGUUAGGGAGGGUUUGGCUGGUAGGGAUAUCCUUGUCUCAUCGCGCACCAGCGACUCCUGUGGCGGGCCGGGCGCAGUGCACACUAACCAAGGUUGCCAGGUGCACGGUGUUUCCUCCGACACAUUGGUGAGGCUGGUUUCCGGGUUGGAUGCGCGCUGUGUUAAGAAGCAGUGCGGCUUGGUUGGGUUGUGUAUCGGAGGACGCAUGACUUUCAACCUUCGUCUCUCCCGAGCUCGUACGGGAGUUUUAGCGAUGAGACAAGAUAAUAGCUACUAACAAUUGGAUACCACGAAAAGGGGGUAAAAAAAUGUUUUUUAAAGAGAAGGGGAUAGGAUAACAGAGAGCAUUCUUCCUCUUCUUUUGGAUAAUGAAGAUCUGCUAGACUUGUGAGCAGUAGAGCCUGGUGGGAGGAGCUAUAGGAGGACAAGCUCAUUGUAAUGGCUGGAAUGGCAUAAAAGGAAUGAAGUCAAAUGUGGUUUCCACUUUUGAUGAUACCAUUCCAUUUAUUCCGUUCCAACCAUUACAAAUUAGCCUGUCUUAUUAUAGCUCCUCCCACCAGCCUCUACUGCUUGUGAGUAUUCUUAGGGAGUUUUACUUAAAAGCUACAGAUCUAGUUAUGCAUGUCUGUCUUUACUAAAGGUGUUUCAUGCCAAUACUGUGUGUUGGUGAACUGCCGUUAGCACAAGAUUAAUUGUGCUAUUAACAGAUUACUAGAAGGAAACACUGUAUUUUAUAUUGUACUCAUGAUUGACUAUUGACUGAAAGGAUGUAUUUGUAUUACUUUGAUAGUUACAAAUAAAGUAUUAUGUGUUAGAAGGAAAAGCUUAAUGCCUUCUAUGCUCGCUUCGAGGCAAACAACACUGAACCAUGCAUGAGCGCACCAGCUGUUCCAGAUGACUGUGUGAUCACGCUCUCCGUAGCCGAUGUGAGUAAGACCUUUAAACAGAUCAACAUUCACAAGGCCACAGGGCCAGGCGGAUUACCAGGAUCCAUACACAGAGCAUACCCUGACCAACUAUCAAGUGUCUUCACUGACAUUUUCAACCUCUCCCUGAACAAGUCUGUAAUAUCUAAUGUGUUUCAAGCAGACCACCAUAGUCGCUGUACCCAAGAAUGCCAAGGUAACCUGCCUAAAUGACGACAGCCUCAUAGCACUCACGUCUGUAGCCAUGAAGUGUUUGAAUGACUGGACAUGGCUCACAUCAACACCUUAAUCCCAGAAACCCUAGACCCACUGCAAUUUGCAUACAGAACCAUAGAUGACGCAAUCUCUCUUGCACUCCACACUGCCCUUUCCCACCUGGACAAAAGAAACACCUGCGUGAGAAUGCUGUUUGCUGACUACACCUCAGCAUUCAACACCAUAGUUGUGUUUUAUUG